GGGAUAACUCCGGGAAACCGGGGCUAAUACCGGAUGGUUGUUUGAACCGCAUGGUUCAAACAUAAAAGGUGGCUUCGGCUACCACUUACAGAUGGACCCGCGGCGCAUUAGCUAGUUGGUGAGGUAACGGCUCACCAAGGCAACGAUGCGUAGCCGACCUGAGAGGGUGAUCGGCCACACUGGGACUGAGACACGGCCCAGACUCCUACGGGAGGCAGCAGUAGGGAAUCUUCCGCAAUGGACGAAAGUCUGACGGAGCAACGCCGCGUGAGUGAUGAAGGUUUUCGGAUCGUAAAGCUCUGUUGUUAGGGAAGAACAAGUACCGUUCGAAUAGGGCGGUACCUUGACGGUACCUAACCAGAAAGCCACGGCUAACUACGUGCCAGCAGCCGCGGUAAUACGUASGUGGCAAGCGUUGUCCGGAAUUAUUSSSCSUAAAGGSCUCGCMKGCRGUUUCUUAAGUCUGAUGUGAAAGCCCCCGGCUCAACCGGGGAGGGUCAUUGGAAACUGGGGAACUUGAGUGCAGAAGAGGAGAGUGGAAUUCCACGUGUAGCGGUGAAAUGCGUAGAGAUGUGGAGGAACACCAGUGGCGAAGGCGACUCUCUGGUCUGUAACUGACGCUGAGGAGCGAAAGCGUGGGGAGCGAACAGGAUUAGAUACCCUGGUAGUCCACGCCGUAAACGAUGAGUGCUAAGUGUUAGGGGGUUUCCGCCCCUUAGUGCUGCAGCUAACGCAUUAAGCAACUCCCGGCCAU
This 754-nucleotide ribosomal RNA is filed under the name Bacillus sp. P1-3P. RNAcentral's name for it is "bacterial SSU rRNA". It matches the Rfam family "Bacterial small subunit ribosomal RNA", at positions 140 to 873 of the family's 1533-position model. Lineage: Bacteria; Bacillati; Bacillota; Bacilli; Caryophanales; Bacillaceae. The record is from RNAcentral.